This 279-nucleotide unclassified non-coding RNA is filed under the name Leohumicola sp. Its description in RNAcentral is "partial contains 5.8S ribosomal RNA, internal transcribed spacer 2, and large subunit ribosomal RNA". The stretch from base 1 to 71 matches the Rfam family "5.8S ribosomal RNA", at positions 84 to 154 of the family's 154-position model. Lineage: Eukaryota; Fungi; Ascomycota; Leotiomycetes. The record is from RNAcentral.
GUGAGUCAUCGAAUCUUUGAACGCACAUUGCGCCCCUUGGUAUUCCGAGGGGCAUGCCCGUUCGAGCGUCAUUAUAACCCCUCAAGCCUAGCUUGGUGUUGGGGUCUGCUGUUACCGGCAGCCCUUAAAAUCAGUGGCGGUGCCAUCUGGCUCUAAGCGUAGUAAUACUUCUCGCUACAGGGUCCGGUGGAUGCCUGCCAUCAACCCCUAAUUUUCUAUGGUUGACCUCGGAUCGGGUAGGGAUACCCGCUGAACUUAAGCAUAUCAAUAAGCGGAGGA